AUACGGAGGGUGCAAGCGUUAAUCGGAAUUACUGGGCGUAAAGCGUGCGCAGGCGGUUUUUUAAGUCAGAGGUGAAAUCCCCUGGCUCAACGGGGGAACGGCCUUUGAUACUGUCAGGCUCGAAUAAUGCAGAAGGAGAUAGAAUUUCGCGGGUAGCAGUGAAAUGCGUAGAUAUUUGGUGGAACACCGAUUGCGAAGGCAAUCCCCUGGGCCUGUACUGACGCUCAUGCACGAAAGCGUGGGGAGCAAACAGGAUUAGAUACCCUGGUAGUCCACGCCCUAAACGAUGUCAACUGGUUGUUGGGUCUUCAUUGACUCAGUAACGAAGCUAACGCGUUAAGUAGACCGCCUGGGGAGUACGGCCGCAAGGUUGAAACUCAAAUGAAUUGGCGGGG
This 395-nucleotide ribosomal RNA is filed under the name uncultured bacterium. Its description in RNAcentral is "partial 16S ribosomal RNA". It matches the Rfam family "Bacterial small subunit ribosomal RNA", at positions 523 to 918 of the family's 1533-position model. The record is from RNAcentral.